CAAAGUUAAACUCUCACGUUACUCAAAAAAAAUGAAAUUAUACCAUUUUUAGACAUAUAAUAUCAUUGUGGAAAUUACAAACUAACCUGUAACAGCUUUUAAGGUAGAUCUAUUCAGGUUUUCUUCUCUUGCCUCCUGACUUAGUCCUUGCCAUUCUUGUAUUACUUUUUCACAGUUUCCUCCAGGUCUUCUGGGGCAUUUAUAAGGUAUCUCUUUCCAGAUAGACUCUACUAGAGUCUAUUUCACUUGGCAUGAAAUGUUGAAAUACUCACUGAAGUGAGGACUGGAGCAUAGACUUCACCCUUCUAUAUACACGUCUCUUCUGUUUUACAAUUCUUCAUUCUGCUUAAUGAAUAUUUACUGUUUUCUGUGAAGGGAAAUGGUUUAAUAA
Oxyura jamaicensis (ruddy duck) is the source of this 391-nucleotide long non-coding RNA. RefSeq lists it as uncharacterized. NCBI's taxonomy places the organism in Eukaryota, Metazoa, Chordata, Aves, Anseriformes, Anatidae. The transcript is spliced from 3 exons. The record is from RefSeq and is a predicted model, not a curated record.